RNAcentral lists this long non-coding RNA (240 nucleotides) under Panicum hallii. Its description in RNAcentral is "long non-coding RNA (PHAL_LNC000413)". Lineage: Eukaryota; Viridiplantae; Streptophyta; Magnoliopsida; Poales; Poaceae. The record is from RNAcentral.
GAGGGGCAGUGGGGUAAGGUAAUUGAAGUAACUAGCCAGUAUUAAGAUUAGGCAUAAGCAUAAUAAACUGAUGCAUCCAAAGACGGUGAAUCUAGAAUAGAGGCCGGGUGGGGAAGCAAAAGAUGCAAGAGAGCCUUUUUAGAUUUUGCAACUGCACCAAGGAAUAAUAAAAAAGCACACAAAGUAGUAAGUAAGGAAUUAAUCCCAUUAUUAGGAAUCCAGUUAUUAGCUAUUUUGAAC